AUGGAAGAACUCGAGUUCUUCAUGAUCCUACUCCCAAAUUUCUUGAAGAAACUGAGGCUUCCAGGCAAGUUCACCAAGGUACUCGCCGGCCGUGAGCGUCGGGAAGUGAAGCUGCGGGAGGACGGGCGCCGACGUCGCUUGUGGGACGUGGAAGUAGUUACCGACACCGAUGGCCACAUGUACCUGGGGCACGGAUGGGAGCACUUCGCCCACGCUCAUGACAUGCGGCUCGGUCACUUCCUCGUCUUAAGCUACGAUGGCCACGCUGUGCUCACCGUGAAGGUGUUCGACGGGAGCAUGUGCCGCAGGCACUACCAGCACGACAACGAUGCCAGCAGUGGGAGCAGCAGCGACCGUGGCAACACCUUGGGAGCAGAGGGGGAAGGGGAAGCGCCACCGCACACAGGGGCAAAGGAAGACGACGGGGCGCAGAGCAUAUCCCAGAUGAGUAAUCCAUGCGAUUCAGAUGGAAGCCAGAAGGAAAGAUCUUUUUCUUCCGAUCCAGAAGAUCCUGUGGACUCAGCUAAUCUACAGAUGCUUUCAAAUAACUAUGUCUUAUCAGUGCAAUGCUAUCUUACAAAAGAACAGAAGAUGAAAAUAGAUGCGCUCAUAGAGAAAACUCAACCUAAAUUCACAGUGCUAGUUGUACAGAUGAAGAAGUCAAACGUAAAACGGCAUGCUAAUCUGGUAAUACAGAAGGAUUAUGCACUCAAGCACUUUCCAUGUGAAGAUAUAAUUGUCAUACUCCAGCUGCCUGGGAAGAACAAGGAUUGGAAAAGCACAUUCCGCAUCAGGCCAUCCGGCGUGCCUGAUGCAGGUCGGUGCAACCUCUAUUUGGGGAACUUUGCCUGUGACAAUCAUGUUAGAGAGGGUGAUAUCUGCCUCUUCCAACCAAUGACAAAUGUUAAGGAGAGAAGAUUCAUAGUGAAAGUGCAUAUUCUUCACAAAGCGAGCGUUGAUGGCACUACUCAGUCGCCAGCAGGCGAAGGACCAGAUUCAGAUGGAUGCCUGAAGGAAGGCUCAUCCCAUAAUUAUAAAUCAGCAAGUACUCCUGCAGUGUCUUAUACUUCUAAAGAAUUUUCAGAAGAAAAUCCACCUGCAGAUGAGGCUAUGGAGUUGGAUGAUCUUCAGACCCUCUCGAAGGAUUAUGUCUUGUCAGGGAAAUGUGAUCUUACAGUAGCACAGGGGGCAAAAAUAAAUGCACUUAUAGAUAAAAUUCGGCCUGAAAUCCCCGUUCUUGUUGUACAGAUGAAGAAAAGCAGCGCAAACCGGGCUACUCUGAUCAUACAGAAGGAUUAUGCACUCAAAUACUUUCCAUGUGAAGAUACAACUAUCAUACUCCAGCUGCCGAGGAAGAACAAGAAUUGGAAGUGCAAAUUUCAUAUCAGGGCAUCCAGCAUGUGUAAUGCAGGCCGGCGCACCCUUUAUUUAGGAAAAUUUGUGCAUGACACUCAUGUUAGGGAGGGUGAUAUCUGUCUUUUUCAACCAAUGACAAAUGUCAUGCACAGAAGAUUCAUAGUGACAGUCCAUCUACUUCAAAAAGAGAGCAUUGCUCAUUCCCCUGGUGGAAGAACUGACAUUGGGUCAAAUCACGGAAGUACAAGUGCCAAGAUGGGCGGCGUUAAGGAGGAACCACCUGCCGAUGGUGAAGAAUAUGAAGUCUCUGAGGAUUCCGAGGAAGCUUCCGAGAAUCUCUUCAUGUUCGCUGACAGAGUUUGUAUAACACCAGCACAAGAGCUGAAAUUGUUGGAGAAAGUUGAGGAGAUUAAGUUCAAACCGCCCUUUUAUGUUGCUCUCAUGAGCAGGAGCACUGUCUGUCAGCAUGGUCCCAUGCUGCGUUUUGGCUGGCAGUACGCAGCCAGAUAUCUUGUUCCGAAGUUCGCUGCUGCCUCUCAUCGUGGAGAGAAUGGUCCAAUCAGUUUGGUGCUUCAGCGGGAGGGGAAGAGCAGAUCAUGGCCUACCAAGCUGCAAUAUAGGCGUCGCACGCUAGACACGACCAAUCAGAUGACCGUUCUCAAAGGAUGGCCGUCUUUUGCGCGCGACAACCACCUGCGGGAGAGGGACCUCUGCCUCUUCAAGCUGAUGGAUAACGAGGAGCAGCUGACGAUGAUGGUCUACAUCGUCCGCCGCUAG
Molecule: ribosomal RNA, 2133 nt
Filed under: Triticum aestivum (bread wheat)
Lineage: Eukaryota; Viridiplantae; Streptophyta; Magnoliopsida; Poales; Poaceae
Description: partial small subunit ribosomal RNA
Source: RNAcentral